This 817-nucleotide ribosomal RNA is filed under the name uncultured bacterium. RNAcentral describes it as "bacterial SSU rRNA". It matches the Rfam family "Bacterial small subunit ribosomal RNA", at positions 57 to 878 of the family's 1533-position model. The record is from RNAcentral.
GCAAGUCGCACGAGAAAGGGUAGCAAUCCUGGAGUACAGUGGCGCACGAGUGAGUAACACGUGGGCAANNCUCCUUCGAUGGGGAAUAACUCCGGGAAACCGAAGCUAAUACCGCAUAACAUUCCUUGGACCUCGGUUCGAGGACUCAAAGCCGUAAGGCGUCGAAGGAGGAGCCCGCGCACGAUUAGCUAGUUGGUAGGGUAACGGCCUACCAAGGCUUUGAUCGUUAGCUGGUCUGAGAGGAUGGCCAGCCACACUGGAACUGAGACACGGUCCAGACUCCUACGGGAGGCAGCAGUGGGGAAUCUUGCACAAUGGGCGAAAGCCUGAUGCAGCGACGCCGCGUGGGGGAUGAAGCAUUUCGGUGUGUAAACCCCUUUCGACCCGGACGAAUGCCUCGCAAGAGGAGUGACGGUACGGGUAUAAGAAGCCCCGGCUAACUACGUGCCAGCAGCCGCGGUAAGACGUAGGGGGCCAGCGUUGUUCGGAAUUACUGGGCGUAAAGCGUGCGCAGGCGGUUAUGUAAGACAGUUGUGAAAUCCCCGGGCUCAACCUGGGAACUGCAUCUGUGACUGCAUAGCUAGAGUACGGUAGAGGGGGAUGGAAUUCCGCGUGUAGCAGUGAAAUGCGUAGAUAUGCGGAGGAACACCGAUGGCGAAGGCAAUCCCCUGGACCUGUACUGACGCUCAUGCACGAAAGCGUGGGGAGCAAACAGGAUUAGAUACCCUGGUAGUCCACGCCCUAAACGAUGUCAACUGGUUGUUGGGUCUUCACUGACUCAGUAACGAAGCUAACGCGUGAAGUUGACCGCCUGGGG